CAUUUAGUGAUGAUCGUGUUGUUUUUUUUGUAGGGUAGAAAAAAUAGAAGACGAGUAACAGAGAGGAACGAGGCGACAACCGCCGUUUGAAUCAAAACAUGACGAGCAUCAAGAGGGGCAG
Non-coding RNA from Caenorhabditis elegans, 121 nucleotides. Lineage: Eukaryota; Metazoa; Nematoda; Chromadorea; Rhabditida; Rhabditidae. The record is from Ensembl.